CCUACGGGUGGCAGCAGUGGGGAAUUUUUGGCAAUGGGCGCAAGCCUGAACCAGCAACGUAGCGUGAAGGAUGACUGCCCUACGAGUUGUAAGCUUCUUUUAUAAGGGAGUAAGAUGAGGCACGUGUGCCUUUUUGUAUGUACUUUGUGUAUAAGGGUCGGCUAACUCCGUGCCAGCAGCCGCGGUAAUACGGAGGAUCCGAGCGUUAUCCGGAUUUAUUGGGUUUAAAGGGAGCGUAGUUGGGUUGUUAAGUCAGGUGUGAAAGUGUGCGGCUCAACCGGAAAAUUGCAAGUGAUACUGGGAGACUUGAGUAGAGUUGAGGUAGGCGGAAUUCGUGGUGUAGCGGUGAAAUGCUUAGAUAUCACGAAGAACUCCGAUUGCGAAGGCAGUCUACUAAACUGCAACUGACAUUGAUGCUCGAAAGUGUGGGUAUCAAACAGGAUUAGAUACCCCAGUAGUC
This 460-nucleotide ribosomal RNA is filed under the name uncultured bacterium. Its description in RNAcentral is "partial 16S ribosomal RNA". It matches the Rfam family "Bacterial small subunit ribosomal RNA", at positions 338 to 795 of the family's 1533-position model. The record is from RNAcentral.